GGAGUUAGCCGGUGCUUCUUCUGUGAGUGAUGUCCUUCCUGCCGGCUAUUAACCCGCAGGCCUUCUUCCUCACUGAAAGUGCUUUACAACCCGAAGGCCUUCUUCACACACGCGGCAUGGCUGGAUCAGGGUUGCCCCCAUUGUCCAAUAUUCCCCACUGCUGCCUCCCGUAGGAGUCUGGGCCGUGUCUCAGUCCCAGUGUGGCUGAUCAUCCUCUCAGACCAGCUACGGAUCGUCGCCUUGGUGAGCCGUUACCUCACCAACCAGCUAAUCCGACAUAGGCUCAUCCGAUAGCGCGAGGCCCGAAGGUCCCCCGCUUUCCCCCGUAGGGCGUAUGCGGUAUUAGCCUGGGUUUCCCCAGGUUAUCCCCCACUACCGGGCAGAUUCCUAUGCAUUACUCACCCGUCCGCCGCUCGCCACCAGGGAGCAAGCUCCCCGUGCUGCCGCUCGACUUGCAUGUGUAGCUCGCCGCCACGCGUCAUCUGAGCCAGAAUACAACUACUCGA
Molecule: ribosomal RNA, 506 nt
Filed under: uncultured bacterium
Lineage: Bacteria
Description: partial 16S ribosomal RNA
Source: RNAcentral